AUUAUCAACCAUCAAGCCUGGCUUGUCGUUGGACCUUUUGGUCGUCGAGACCGGUCCAAAAGAGAAUGGACGGGCGUCUGGUGGCCCCCGAUGCAACGAGCUCUUUUGAACAGCACGCAUCGGUGCGGCCGUCGGCCCCGCCCCAAACCCCAAUUUUUCAGGUUGACCUCGGAUCAGGUAGGAAUACCCGCUGAACUUAA
Molecule: unclassified non-coding RNA, 200 nt
Filed under: soil metagenome
Description: partial contains internal transcribed spacer 2 and large subunit ribosomal RNA
Source: RNAcentral